Molecule: ribosomal RNA, 278 nt
Filed under: uncultured bacterium
Lineage: Bacteria
Description: partial 16S ribosomal RNA
Rfam family: Bacterial small subunit ribosomal RNA
Source: RNAcentral
CUUUCGCCCGCCGGCGACCGGCGUACGGGUGAGUAACGCGUAUCCAACCUGCCCUUUACUAUGGGACAGCCCGUCGAAAGGCGGAUUAAUACCGUAUGUUGUCAUGUUGAUGCAUAUUUUCAUGACCAAAGGCUUCGGCCGGUAAAGGAUGGGGAUGCGUCUGAUUAGCUUGCCGGCGGGGUAACGGCCCACCGGGGCGACGAUCAGUAGGGGUUCUGAGAGGAAGGUCCCCCACAUUGGAACUGAGACACGGUCCAAACUCCUACGGGAGGCAGCAG